This 894-nucleotide ribosomal RNA is filed under the name uncultured bacterium. Its description in RNAcentral is "bacterial SSU rRNA". It matches the Rfam family "Bacterial small subunit ribosomal RNA", at positions 505 to 1398 of the family's 1533-position model. The record is from RNAcentral.
GUGUCAGCCGCCGCGGUAAUACAGAGGGUGCGAGCGUUAAUCGGACUUACUGGGCGUAAAGGGCGCGUAGGCGGAUAUAUAAGAUGAUUGUGAAAUUCCUGGGCUCGACCUGGGGGGGAGGAUCAAGACUGUAUAUCUAGAGUACAGCAGAGGGAAGCGGAAUUUCCGGAGGAGCGGUGAAAUGCGUAGAUAUCGGAAGGACCACCGGUGGCGAAGGCGGCUUUCUGGGCAAGUACUGACGCUGAGGCGCGAAAGCAUGGGUAUCGAACAGGAUUAGAGGCCCUGGUAGUCCAUGCUGUAAACGAUGAGAACUAGAUGUUGGUUGCCUAGUGUGAUUAGUAUCGAAGCUAACGCGAUAAGUUCUCCGCCUGGGGACUACGACCGCAAGGUUAAAACUCAAAGGAAUUGACGGGGGCCCGCACAAGCGGUGGAGCAUGUGGUUUAAUUCGAUGCAACGCGAAGAACCCUACCUACCCUUGACAUCUAUGUAACCCGGCCGAAGGGCUGGGGUGCCGCAAGGCAGCAUAAGACAGGUGCUGCAUGGCUGUCGUCAGCUCGUGUUGUGAAAUGUUGGGUUAAGUCCCGUAACGAGCGCAACCCCUAUCAUUAGUUGCCAUCAAGUAAAGUUGGGGACUCUAAUGAGACUGCCGCUGGUAAAGCGGAGGAAGGUGGGGAUGACGUCAAGUCAUCAUGGCCCUUAUGGGUAGGGCUACACACGUGCUACAAUGGUUGGUCCAAAAGGAAGCGAAAGCGAGAGCUGGAGCGAAUCCUCAAAAGCCGAUCUCAGUCCGGAUUGAAGUCUGCAACUCGACUUCAUGAAGUCGGAAUCGCUAGUAAUCGCGAAUCAGCAUGUCGCGGUGAAUACGUUCCCGGGCCUUGCACACACCGCCCGUC